UAGGGAAUCUUCCGCAAUGGGCGAAAGCCUGACGGAGCAACGCCGCGUGAGUGAUGAAGGUCUUCGGAUCGUAAAACUCUGUUAUUAGGGAAGAACAAAUGUGUAAGUAACUAUGCACGUCUUGACGGUACCUAAUCAGAAAGCCACGGCUAACUACGUGCCAGCAGCCGCGGUAAUACGUAGGUGGCAAGCGUUAUCCGGAAUUAUUGGGCGUAAAGCGCGCGUAGGCGGUUUUUUAAGUCUGAUGUGAAAGCCCACGGCUCAACCGUGGAGGGUCAUUGGAAACUGGAAAACUUGAGUGCAGAAGAGGAAAGUGGAAUUCCAUGUGUAGCGGUGAAAUGCGCAGAGAUAUGGAGGAACACCAGUGGCGAAGGCGACUCUCUGGUCUGUAACUGACGCUGAUGUGCGAAAGCGUGGGGAUCAAACAGG
Molecule: ribosomal RNA, 429 nt
Filed under: Actinomycetes bacterium
Lineage: Bacteria; Bacillati; Actinomycetota; Actinomycetes
Description: Actinobacteria bacterium partial 16S ribosomal RNA
Rfam family: Bacterial small subunit ribosomal RNA
Source: RNAcentral